Strigops habroptila (Kakapo) is the source of this 1175-nucleotide long non-coding RNA. RefSeq lists it as uncharacterized. The record is from RefSeq and is a predicted model, not a curated record. NCBI's taxonomy places the organism in Eukaryota, Metazoa, Chordata, Aves, Psittaciformes, Psittacidae. The transcript is spliced from 3 exons.
GGCCGCCUCUCCCUUAGCUACACCGCGCAGCAGAGGGGACGCCUUCCCGCCUAGCGACCGGCGGCCAAUCAGCGGUGCCCCUCGGUGUGAGGGAGCGAUGGCGGCGGCGGCGGCUGAAACGCGGCUUUAUCUUCAACAGAUGUGCGGCUAUGAAGCUUAGCGGGGCUCAGCUCGGCGCGCGGCCGUCCAGGAGCUGCUGAGCGAAGGACCAGGCUGGUGUUGUGGGCUCCAUCGUGUGGCCCCAGCUCCUGCCUCAGCACCAGCAUCACCCGGUGCCAGGACCAUGGGGCCAGCCCUGCCCGGUGCUGCUGCACCUCUGUGGGGAUGGAGAUGGUGAGGAGGAUGAUGAAGAAGAGCCCAUGGAUCAGGAUGAGGAGAGAUUAACCCUUACCCUGCCGAAACCUCUGUGCAUCGAAGACGUGCACCAGCUCCCCACGCCACAGCGGCAGCACCAUGGUACGUGCAGCUCAGCAGUGAACCUCCAGCAUUCCUGUCGUCAUUCGCAUCAUCCCGGAUCCAUCCCAGAGAUGCAGGAAGAUCCCUCGAUGCCCCGUAGCGACCCAGAGAGACUCCUGGACACUCCAUAAAGCCCUGUACACCCUACAGGCAUCGCAUAGAGCCAUACAGUGACCCACAGACACCCGACAGCAACCAUUGGACCCAUAUAGACCCCAUAGUGACCCAUAGAUCCCCAUAACUACCCACAGAGACCACAGAGUGACCCACACACUGCCCCAUGGCAACCCAUAUCACCCCAUAGACACCCUCCACUGCCCCAUAGCAUCCUAUAGACCCACAACUCACACCCCACAGCUUUUAUUGACCACUGGCAUUGCAGUAACAGCAGCAGAAUCUGUAUACAUAGCACCCGAUAGGGAACCCCCUACCCCCCGUGGCCCGUAAGUGCCCCAACACCCGUGAAUUUUUUAGUCUCUUUCAUUCAUUUUUAUUCACUUUUUCAUAAUUUAUAAUUGCUUGUUUUCACUUUUCGUUGAAUUUCUUCGGUUUAAUUCACUUUUUAUUUGGUUUUUAGUCAAUUUUUGUUCACUUUUCAAGUUGCAGUCAGGCUGAUUCACUUUUUAUUCCCUUUUUAAUGACAUUAUGGUGGGUCUUGGCUAGGUGUGAGGCCAAGGCAGGGUUAAUAAAGGCCUGGGGGCAUGGUCUGUGCUGUGGAA